GUCGAGGGGUAAAUGGUAGCAAUACUAUGAGACCGGCGGACGGGUGCGUAACGCGUAUGCAACAUACCUUGUGCAGGGGGAUAGCCCGUGGAAACGCGGAUUAAUAUUCCAUAGUCCAGCUAUAUCGCAUGGUAUAGUUGGUAAAGAUUUAUCGGCACAAGUUUGGCAUGCGUCUGAUCAGCUUGUUGGUAGGGUAACGGCCUACCAAGGCUACGAUCAGUAGGGGUUCUGAGAGGAUUAACCCCCACACUGGUACUGAGACACGGACCAGACUCCUACGGGAGGCAGCAGUGAGGAAUAUUGGUCAAUGGGCGGAAGCCUGAACCAGCCAUCCCGCGUGAAGGAAGACAGCCUUACGGGUUGUAAACUUCUUUUCUGUCAGAAGAAUAAGCUUGUCGAGACGAGUGAUGCCGGUAUGACAGGAAUAAGCAUCGGCUAACUCCGUGCCAGCAGCCGCGGUAAUACGGAGGAUGCAAGCGUUAUCCGGAUUUAUUGGGUUUAAAGGGUGCGCAGGUUGUUUGAUAAGUCAGUGGUGGAAGUCUGUCGCUUAACGGUAGGAUUGCCAUUGAUACUGUUGGACUUGAAUAUGGAUGAGGUAGGCGGAAUGUGUAGUGUAGCGGUGAAAUGCAUAGAUAUUACACAGAACACCGAUUGCGAA
RNAcentral lists this ribosomal RNA (658 nucleotides) under uncultured bacterium. RNAcentral's name for it is "bacterial SSU rRNA". It matches the Rfam family "Bacterial small subunit ribosomal RNA", at positions 61 to 719 of the family's 1533-position model. The record is from RNAcentral.